RNAcentral lists this long non-coding RNA (212 nucleotides) under Elaeis guineensis (African oil palm). RNAcentral's name for it is "long non-coding RNA (EGUI_LNC055733)". The record is from RNAcentral. Lineage: Eukaryota; Viridiplantae; Streptophyta; Magnoliopsida; Arecales; Arecaceae.
CCGCUCUAACUCACAACACCACUUUAUGAUGUGUUAACGUCACCCCUUUAUCAGACGGCCUAGUGUUCAGCUUACGCAAGCCACCAGAAACCUUUUGUUCAUCCUCCAAAGCUCUCAGCAUUGAACACUAUUGUGGAUCUGUACCUUGGCCUCAACUUUUAUAUUAUCACACUGGCCGAGCUAUGGAAGAUGAUGACUAUUAGAUUAUGGGU